GAAGUUUCAUGGGGACGCAGCCCACUGGGUCACGUGACGUGUGUGCUGCUCUCACACUAACACACGGACAGGAUGACCUGACGGCAUGAAAAUGAUGACAACUAGCCCUUCACAGGAACCGUCUGCCGACCAGGACCACGUAGACAAGCGCUGCCCGGGUGAGGCUGUGCUUCCUGGGGACCCCGGGGACCAUGGAGCACGCUUGUGACCCCACAUCUAUUCACACCCAGGGGUAGGAGCACCAGCACACGCCCAGCGGGAACACUCAGGACCACAGAACGCGGCCUGUGUCCCCAGAGACCAGAGGGGGUCCCCAGGUGCACGGGGGGCACAGAGCGGGCCCCCCAGGAGGAUGGUUUGCCAAACCUCCAUGCAACAGAAACGAUGGAGCCCAGACGCACUCAGUCAGCAUGUGAGUCCUGCUGAGACGUCCCGACACCCUAGAACCUCACACGGGACCCGCCCAGAGACACUCACACACCACCAACAGCCACACCUCCCGCCACAGGCACAGGCCCAGCGUGCGGGCAGCACGACCACCAGAGCAGCAACCAACACGAGCCGUGAGUGAGGGGACGUGAUGAGAGAGUGGGGGCCGCGUCAGCUCUGUGACCCUCACCCCUGCACGGGGAGCUCACCCUUGUGCACGAGGUCGUCCACUUCCUGACAAUAAAUCAGCAUCCAUGCUUCUCCUGCGUCAGGCACAUCCACACUGUCCCGUUGUUUUAAGCUCCCGAAAUCCCACAGGUGACGUCCUCGCUGUCUCGGGCACGUCCGUGUCAGCAUCCCGCUCGGCCGGGCCUUUCCUGUGGUCCAGGCCUGUCUCCUGCAGGGACGCACGAGCAGUGGGGUGACUCCCCUCAUCCCUGCACCCCAGGCGCAUCCUGGGCUCCUGGAGGAGGCGGCCAAGGUGGGAGUGGGCAGGGGAGCCGCACGGCCUGGGGCUUUGGGUGCCGCCCACACCCCACCCCCACGUCAGUCUCCCCACAACCACAGGCCUGGGGUCUCCAAACGGCCAAGCCUGCAGCCUGAAGGGACCCGGGACAGGACGGCUAAACGUCACGGGGUCCUCGGCUGACGCUGAGUGGGGCUCAGAGAAGCUGUGAUGGAGCCGUGAGCACAGGCCCCGUGAGGACGUCCAUGCCAUCCAGCCCAGUGCCCGCGAUCGACGGCUGUGACGUGGCUGCUAAGGGUCACCUGUGGACCACGCACGCACGCACGCAUUUCUAGAGCCGGAUUCAGUCUGCAGCCCACUCGCAAGUGCGCCUGCAACCACACAGGACUUUCUGAAGAUGUUCCACACAUAUUGUGAGACGUGAGAAAUUACUGUAGAUCCUACAUCUGCCAUCAAUGGAUGAAGAAAGCAAAACACAGUCCAUCCCCACAAUGGAAUAUUACGCAGCCCUGAAAAGGAAGGAAACUCUGUACCUGGUACAUCAUGAAUGGGCCUUGACGACAUGAUGCUCAGCGACGUCAGCCGACACAGAUGGACAGAUACUGUGUGACUCCACUCACAGGAGGUCACAGAGGAGUCAGAUCCAUAGAAACAGAAAGUAGACGUGGAGCCAGGUCUGAGAGAGGGGGGUGGGGACUGCGUUUAAUGGCGUGGACGGGGACACUGCAGCCACGAGGAGCCAAACCUGAGUCUUCCACAGCAGGUCAGAGCUGAGGGACUGAAGGCUGCACGUGGCGGGGGCCACAAGGAUGAGGACAGUCACACACGUGGGGCCUCAUGGGAAGGGCUCGCGGGGGCUCCCGAGUCACGUCCUGUCUUGACUCAGAUGGUGACUACAUCAUCCCACGUUAUACAGAUUCGUUACAUGUGUACAACACGCCCUGCAAUAACCAAUAAAGUCUGUAAUUUUCUUUAUGAAAAGGGGUCUUCCCAGCCCGUGCAAAGGCCCUUCCCCAGGAGUGUUCAGAGCUGG
Molecule: long non-coding RNA, 1928 nt
Organism: Equus asinus (donkey)
Lineage: Eukaryota; Metazoa; Chordata; Mammalia; Perissodactyla; Equidae
Source: Ensembl